Regulatory RNA element from Pseudomonas sp. StFLB209, 72 nucleotides. It matches the Rfam family "sucC RNA". The record is from Rfam. Lineage: Bacteria; Pseudomonadati; Pseudomonadota; Gammaproteobacteria; Pseudomonadales; Pseudomonadaceae.
GUCACAGGUGGUGCGGCACACAUGCGGUGUGCAGCAUCGAAUGCGUAAUGUCUAAACACAGACGGUAAUAAG